UAUUUAUGUAUUUACGAGCUAAUAAUUAUUUUGCAGUCGGAGGAGUAUCUUCAAUUAGCUCUACACGCUCAGGUUCACCAAAAAAAAGUUUCACACCUUUAUCGGACAUCGAAAGCUCCUAUUACAUAUUGAAAAAAAAACUUGAGCACGAACUCCAAGUUCAUGACAUCGACAGUAUUUCUCAGAAAUCUGAACGAAGAAACAGAACAAGGGAGGAGAUAAACCAAGCCCGCAGCCGUUUCUUACGUCGAAAUCAAGGGUUUGAAGAAGGAUGUAAGAUAA
Cydia fagiglandana is the source of this 282-nucleotide long non-coding RNA. RefSeq lists it as uncharacterized. The record is from RefSeq and is a predicted model, not a curated record. Lineage: Eukaryota; Metazoa; Arthropoda; Insecta; Lepidoptera; Tortricidae. The transcript is spliced from 3 exons.